AUGCAUGCGACAGGCGUGGACAGUAAUGCCUGUGUGAUUGGGCCGCGCCGGGUGAUGAUUUUAAUAAACACACGCACGCCGAGGGGGCCACAGGUCAACGGUGUUUGGAUUCAUCAGCCUCACAGGCUGCCAGAAAAUGAAGUUAAAGGUAAGAAACUCUGCAAUUUUACAAUUAUAUUGUCAAGUUUCCACCUUUUAUCUCCUUUUCAAGCUCCACCGGGUCCUUAUACCUGCGUUUCCCUCUGUAGUAUUGGUCUCUGCACACACACAGCUUACAGUGUGUACACACCAACACUCCCACCAACAGUCACCGCAAGAGUUAAUAUGUCUAUUGUUUGGCCAGCACGUCAAGCACUUAUCCCUGAGUGUUUGCAGGCUGCUGCAGGGAAAGAAUUAAAGACACAUUCUGCAGGAAAUGGUGGCGCGAGGAUGUCUGGGUCUACAGAACUCAUCCUGUCCCACAUGGUGUUCAGGGUUAAGGAAAGAUUGUGAUUUUAAUUGUGAUUAAAUAUUGAAAUAUUGAAUCCUAACUCCUAAAUAUUUCAACGGUUGCAAUCUGUUAUUAAGGAAGUUUGAUGGUGAAGCAGCGUGGGAUCAUGGAAGAUCAUGGAUCCUUCAUCCUCCCAUGAUCCCACGCUGCUUCACCACCUCAUCAAACUUCCUCUUUUGUUAUUGUUUUGAUGUGAGAGACCCCCUAGUGGCAGGAAUUACACACUGUACGUUUACGUCAUUUACCAAAAAAGGGACGAAACACAGUAAAGGUUAAACAAUGAAUUUGGCUGAUUAAUAUUAUUUUCAAAUUUUCUACAGAUAUUGCGAUAAUAUCGUUAUCCUGAAUUCUUCUGGCCACAAUCAGCUUGUGAAAAUCUAAAUUUAGUAAAUAUGAG
RNAcentral lists this long non-coding RNA (887 nucleotides) under Dicentrarchus labrax (European seabass). RNAcentral's name for it is "lncRNA (ENSDLAG00005028899.1)". The record is from RNAcentral. Lineage: Eukaryota; Metazoa; Chordata; Actinopteri; Moronidae.